RNAcentral lists this unclassified non-coding RNA (230 nucleotides) under Hevea brasiliensis (rubber tree). Lineage: Eukaryota; Viridiplantae; Streptophyta; Magnoliopsida; Malpighiales; Euphorbiaceae. The record is from RNAcentral.
CUAGAGGGUCCGCUUCGAUGAUAAAGUCUAGGGGAUUUUGAGUUAGACUCAUUUCGAUAGUAAUUGCACCUCCCAUAGGCUAUGGGAGAUUUAGAGGCCAUGAGCUCUGCCCACUCCCCCUCUGAUGGUUGCUGUUGACUGAUGUUGGUAUGGCUUCUGAGAUUUAGCAUAUGAAUGUGUUGGAUGUUUAAAGGCGGUGGCUUCUAGCGAGCGGGCAUGUUUCUUGUUUG